UGGCUCAGAAUCAACGCUGGCGGCGUGCCUAACACAUGCAAGUCGAACGCGAAAGGGGGCAACCCUGAGUAGAGUGGCGUACGGGUGAGUAACACGUGGAUAAUCUACCUUUGGGUGGGGAAUAACUCUGCGAAAGUGGAGCUAAUACCGCAUAAAGUUCUUAAGAGGAAUCUUUUAAGGACCAAAGAGGGGGACCUUCGGGCCUCUCGCCUGAAGAGGAGUCUGCGGCCGAUUAGCUAGUAGGUAGGGUAAAAGCCUACCUAGGCGACGAUCGGUAGCCGGCCUGAGAGGGUGAACGGCCACACUGGCACUGAAACACGGGCCAGACUCCUACGGGAGGCAGCAGUGGGGAAUUUUGGGCAAUGGCCGAAAGGCUGACCCAGCAACGCCGCGUGAAGGAUGAAAUCUUUCGGGAUGUAAACUUCGCAAGUCAGGGAAGAAUAAGCGUACGCUAAUAGCGUGCGCGAUGACGGUACCUGACGUAAGCCCCGGCUAACUCCGUGCCAGCAGCCGC
This 514-nucleotide ribosomal RNA is filed under the name uncultured Chloracidobacterium sp. RNAcentral describes it as "bacterial SSU rRNA". It matches the Rfam family "Bacterial small subunit ribosomal RNA", at positions 20 to 518 of the family's 1533-position model. The record is from RNAcentral. Lineage: Bacteria; Pseudomonadati; Acidobacteriota; Blastocatellia; Chloracidobacteriales; Chloracidobacteriaceae.